RNAcentral lists this ribosomal RNA (262 nucleotides) under uncultured archaeon. RNAcentral's name for it is "partial 16S ribosomal RNA". It matches the Rfam family "Archaeal small subunit ribosomal RNA", at positions 748 to 1009 of the family's 1478-position model. The record is from RNAcentral.
UAGCCGUAAACGAUACUCGCUAGGUGUCGGCCACGGUGCGACCGUUGUCGGUGCCGUAGGGAAGCCGUGAAGCGAGCCACCUGGGAAGUACGGCCGCAAGGCUGAAACUUAAAGGAAUUGGCGGGGGGAGCACCACAAGAGGUGGAGGCUGCGGUUCAAUUGGACUCAACGCCGGAAAACUCAUCGGGAGCGACAGCAGUAUGAUUGCCAGGUUGAUGACCUUGCUUGACAAGCUGAGAGGAGGUGCAUGGCGUAGUCGUGU